Long non-coding RNA from Mytilus californianus (California mussel), 786 nucleotides. RefSeq lists it as uncharacterized. The record is from RefSeq and is a predicted model, not a curated record. The transcript has 4 exons. Lineage: Eukaryota; Metazoa; Mollusca; Bivalvia; Mytilida; Mytilidae.
AAAACCACUGAAACGUUAUUCACUUCCUUUAGGCGUUAUUCAAUUAAUAAACACGAAAUCCUAAACUACCGACAUCUAAAAGAUUUGAUCUACUUUCGUCUACCAGAUCUACUUCCUUGUUUUGUCGCUGGAGGUUUGUUAAAAAGGGUAAAGAAAAUCAAUGAAAAAAUGCUGUGGGUUGUCGUUUUUGUUUUUGUUAUAGACACAAAAUGUGUGAUUGCAAAUAGUUUUUCAUAUGAUCAAGCAUAUCAUACAGAACAAAAAGCCUGGAAAGCUGCUUCUGAUGAAUGCGGCAGUACUGGAUUAGAGUUUGAAGAAAACGUGUUGAAGAAUAUUGACGUGCAGUUGGAUAAGGUAUUCUGGAUCGGCUUGGCUAUCUACCGUGUAACUACACCAUGGAUUGAAAUUUUGGGUUGCUUUGCAGUACCAGAUGGGCAGGAAGUAAAGAAAAGUCAUUCAUUGUUAUUAUGUCAGAAACAAUGUGAAUCAUAUCAGUUAUUUGGUUACAGUGAGUCAUCAGCAAUUUGUUCCUGUCUACAUAAUAGAAGUAGCUCAUACAGUAUAAAGAAUUGUAUAGAACAAAAUAAUUCAACAUAUUUCUUCGUUUAUAAAGGUAGAUACAAUUCAUUGUAAAGUACACAUUUUUUCAUCUUAACUUAUUUCAAAGAACAAAUCUUAAAUAUAAUCGUGUUACAAUUAAAGCUACUAGAAGAUGCCCGCGAAAUCGCGGUACAAUUGGUCAAGUGUUGAAACAAAGAGUGUCAAGGGUGCCUGUGUUUACACAUA